AGAACGAACGCUAGCGGCAGGCCUCAAACAUGCAAGUCUAGGGGGGUGCAGCAAUGCAUCACCGGCGGACGGGUGCGUAACGCGUGGGAAUAUACCUAUUGGUUCGGAACAACUGCGGGAAACUGCAGCUAAUACCGAAUGUGCCCGAAAGGGGAAAGAUUCAUCGCCAAUGGAUUAGCCCGCGUAGGAUUAGCUAGUUGGUGGGGUAAAGGCUCACCAAGGCUCCGAUCCUUAGCUGUUCUGAGAGGAAGAUCAGCCACACUGGGACUGAGACACGGCCCAGACUCCUACGGGAGGCAGCAGUUGGGAAUCUUGGACAAUGGGGGAAACCCUGAUCCAGCCAUGCCGCGUGAGUGAUGAAGGCCUUCGGGUUGUAAACUCUUUCGACGGGGACGAUAAUGACGGUACCCGUAGAAGAGCUCCGGCUAACUCGCGCCAGCAGCCGC
Molecule: ribosomal RNA, 446 nt
Filed under: uncultured bacterium
Lineage: Bacteria
Description: SSU rRNA
Rfam family: Bacterial small subunit ribosomal RNA
Source: RNAcentral